Molecule: ribosomal RNA, 433 nt
Filed under: uncultured bacterium
Lineage: Bacteria
Description: partial 16S ribosomal RNA
Rfam family: Bacterial small subunit ribosomal RNA
Source: RNAcentral
AACGAACGCUGGCGGCAUGCCUAACACAUGCAAGUCGAACGAGGCCUUCGGGUCUAGUGGCGCACGGGUGCGUAACGCGUGGGAACCUGCCCUUAGGUUCGGAAUAACUCCCCGAAAGGGGUGCUAAUACCGGAUAAUGUCUUCGGACCAAAGAUUUAUCGCCUUUGGAUGGGCCCGCGUUGGAUUAGCUAGUUGGUAGGGUAAAAGCCUACCAAGGCGACGAUCCAUAGCUGGUCUGAGAGGAUGAUCAGCCACACUGGGACUGAGACACGGCCCAGACUCCUACGGGAGGCAGCAGUGGGGAAUAUUGGACAAUGGGCGAAAGCCUGAUCCAGCAAUGCCGCGUGAGUGUUGAAGGCCUUAGGGUUGUAAAGCUCUUUUACCCGGGAUGAUAAUGACAGUACCGGGAGAAUAAGCUCCGGCUAACUCCGUG